AAUCAACGCUGGCGGCGUGCCUAACACAUGCAAGUCGAACGAGAAAGUGGAGCAAUCCAUGAGUAAAGUGGCGCACGGGUGAGUAACACGUGACUAACCUACCCUUGAGUGGGGGAUAACCUAGGGAAACCUGGGCUAAUACCGCAUAAUACCUACGGGUCAAGGAGCAAUUCGCUUUAGGAGGGGGUCGGCGGCAGAUUAGUUAGUUUGGCGGGGUAAGUAGGCCCACCAAGACGAUGAUCGUAUCCGGCCUGAGAGGGCGCACGGACACACUGGAACUG
This 281-nucleotide ribosomal RNA is filed under the name uncultured bacterium. Its description in RNAcentral is "partial 16S ribosomal RNA". It matches the Rfam family "Bacterial small subunit ribosomal RNA", at positions 32 to 321 of the family's 1533-position model. The record is from RNAcentral.